AGUGUAUUAUCUGGUCAAUGGAUGUUUAUGAAAGGUUAGAGAUACAUGACAUAUGCAUGAUGCUGAUGCAAUAUGAUUAACUCCUUUCUUUUUUUUCAACAAGCUCUUUGUAUUUUUUAAACAACUUUUCUUUUUUCUAUUUUUAUUUUUGUUUUUUCAAAACUCUCUGGCAAGCACUGAGAACAUUUUCCGCUGGGGAGAAAGGGUGGAAGGUGUUUGAAAAAUGGUUUACCCGGUGGAACCGGGACUUUGAUGUGACGGCUGAGGAAGAAGGGAUAUGGAUUGACCUAUCUAGAACUAGGUCCUUAGAGGGGGUUUAUAUAUUUUUGGUUUAUUUAUGAU
This 342-nucleotide long non-coding RNA is filed under the name Lathyrus oleraceus (garden pea). RNAcentral describes it as "Pisum sativum (pea) long non-coding RNA (PSAT_LNC018273)". Lineage: Eukaryota; Viridiplantae; Streptophyta; Magnoliopsida; Fabales; Fabaceae. The record is from RNAcentral.